This 432-nucleotide ribosomal RNA is filed under the name uncultured bacterium. RNAcentral's name for it is "partial 16S ribosomal RNA". It matches the Rfam family "Bacterial small subunit ribosomal RNA", at positions 29 to 507 of the family's 1533-position model. The record is from RNAcentral.
GCGAACGCUGGCGGCAGGCCUAACCCCUGCAAGUCGAACGGAUCCUUCGGGAUUAGUGGCGGACGGGUGAGUAACACGUGGGAACGUGCCCUUUGGUUCGGAACAACUCAGGGAAACUUGAGCUAAUACCGGAUGUGCCCUUCGGGGGAAAGAUUUAUCGCCAUUGGAGCGGCCCGCGUCUGAUUAGCUAGUUGGUGAGGUAACGGCCCACCAAGGCGACGAUCAGUAGCUGGUCUGAGAGGAUGAUCAGCCACACUGGGACUGAGACACGGCCCAGACUCCUACGGGAGGCAGCAGUGGGGAAUCUUGCGCAAUGGGCGAAAGCCUGACGCAGCCAUGCCGCGUGAAUGAUGAAGGUCUUAGGAUUGUAAAAUUCUUUCAGCGGGGACGAUAAUGACGGUACCCGCAGAAGAAGCUCCGGCUAACUUCGUG